GAGAGAGCGCUGAGGUGACGAGAGACUGGGAACUGAGGUCUUCCGGUCUGAGGUGCUGAGGUCUCAGGAUCGAGGGAUGAAAGAGAAGAGGAUCAAUCCCACACAACUCAUUAUCGCAUUGCAACCUGAGACUGGAAAUGCCUGGGGGCGGGAGGCGUUUCUCAGAGUAGAGCUCAGUCAUCCUGCAGAGCAGGGCACCAGUCCAAGGCUGCGGAAACAGCACAACAAUAACCGACUGCUUUCUGGUAUCUCUGUUAAAGUUCUCCAUUGUUUUAAAGGAAAACUGGUUUACGUCUUUCAGCAGAUUGCGUUUUGGCCCCUUCACAGAACAUGGCUGGAAGGGAUAUUAAUAUAAAUUGUGAAUGAUAUACAUCAUUCUGCAUUAUCCAUGUUGCAUCAAAGGAGAGGUGAUUUUUAGAGCAUGUUAGGAAUGUGCAGUUUGGCACAGCCAAGUGAGACAUUCCCUUUCAGACCUUUCUUCAGGCACUGCAAGUUUCUCAUAGGUCAAAAAGCCAAUCAUACACUGAUAGAAUCCAUGUGUCUUUGAUGACCAUAGUACAUGCUGCUCAUAAAAGCUGGUUCAACAAAAUUUCUGGUGUCUUUCCUGUCUGUGGCUAUAAUUACAUGAAAGCAGCAUUGUUUAAUUGAGAAAGCACAGUAGUGGAGUUCAUCGAUGAAUCUACAAACAGAUUUUCCUGAAAAGUCUCUUCUUUAAUUCAUAUUUCCCUGGGUUUUCUCCCACAUUUAACAAGAUUUUUCAUGCAAGCUUUAUUACAGAGAUUUUCUGCCAAGAUUUUGCAGCACCACUAGACAGAUGACUGACUUGAACAAGAUACGAUCACCUCUUCAUAAUGACAUGCAUGAUUACCCCUGCAAAUCAUUCAAUUAUGAUAAAGAUUUCAAAUGAAAGAAGGUAAUUUAUUUAUGCACUGUCCAGAAACAUUCAGUCUUUUGUGGAGCAAAACCUGAAUCUCAAUAUGGAAGUCUUUAGAGUAACUGUAACAAGACCAAUCAGCUAACCAGGAAGAAAUCAAAGACCUUAUUAAAGCAGUGCCAAGAAAAGUGCUACAGGGCACUGUGCUGCAGUAUAGAGUUACAGUAUGCCAUAAAGGCUGCAUUUAUUUCAAUAUUAACAUCUUAAAAAGCAGCAAAUUUUGCUUGGGAGACUGCAACCCUUGAGUUUCUAAGUGAUCUGGACCUUUCUAAUUCUUGUCAAAUAACAGCCAAGCCUUCUGUUUUUCAGCACAGCCAAAAAGCAAACCUUAAACAUAAACAGGAUUGAAGCUUUGGCACUGAGUGGAAUUUUUAAUUCAGCACUAAGCCAACUAUUGAAUUUAUUUUUCCUAGCACCUAAAUACCCCAUGGGUAUUAUAACACCACUGAUGCUCAGUGCCCCACAGGCCCAUGGCACAGUCUUUCCUCUGAAGAGCUUACAGAACCCACAGCCAAGCAACAUGGGCUUGUUUUGUCUUUAUUCUGGGAGUACAGAUGGCAUUCAGUUCUGCUAAGUUAAAAUAAAUAUCAGAAUUUAAAUAUAACA
Molecule: long non-coding RNA, 1540 nt
Filed under: Cyanistes caeruleus (blue tit)
Lineage: Eukaryota; Metazoa; Chordata; Aves; Passeriformes; Paridae
Description: lncRNA (ENSCCEG00000012600.1)
Source: RNAcentral